UACGGGGUCACCUAGCCUGGAUUGGGUGCCAGACUCAUAAUCUGGUUGCGCGGGUUCGAAUCCCGCCCCCGGCA
RNAcentral lists this transfer RNA (74 nucleotides) under Candidatus Bathyarchaeota archaeon. RNAcentral describes it as "tRNA-Met". It matches the Rfam family "tRNA". Rfam says of the family: Transfer RNA (tRNA) molecules are approximately 80 nucleotides in length. Lineage: Archaea; Thermoproteati; Candidatus Bathyarchaeota. The record is from RNAcentral.